RNAcentral lists this ribosomal RNA (403 nucleotides) under uncultured bacterium. Its description in RNAcentral is "partial 16S ribosomal RNA". It matches the Rfam family "Bacterial small subunit ribosomal RNA", at positions 30 to 526 of the family's 1533-position model. The record is from RNAcentral.
AUUGAACGCUGGCGGCAGGCCUAACACAUGCAAGUCGAGCGAGCGGCGGACGGGUGAGUAAUGUAUGGGGACUGCCCGAUAGAGGGGGAUAACUACUGGAAACGGUAGCUAAUACCGCAUACUAUCGGAUAACCCAUAUGGGAUUAGCUAGUAGGUGGGGUAACGGCUCACCUAGGCGACGAUCCCUAGCUGGUCUGAGAGGAUGAGCAGCCACACUGGGACGGAGACACGGCCCAGACUCCUACGGAGGCAGCAGUGGGGAAUAUUGCACAAUGGGCGCAAGCCUGAUGCAGCCAUGCCGCGUGUAUGAAGAAGGCCUUCGGGUUGUAAAGUACUUUCAGCCGGGAGGCGUUACCGGCAGAAGAAGCACCGGCUAACUCCGUGCCAGCAGCCGCGGUAAUUC